This 371-nucleotide unclassified non-coding RNA is filed under the name soil metagenome. RNAcentral describes it as "partial contains 5.8S ribosomal RNA, internal transcribed spacer 2, and large subunit ribosomal RNA". The stretch from base 1 to 120 matches the Rfam family "5.8S ribosomal RNA", at positions 35 to 154 of the family's 154-position model. The record is from RNAcentral.
GAUGAAGAACGUAGCGAAAUGCGAUAAUUAAUGUGAAUUACAGAAUUCAGUGAAUCAUCGAAUCUUUGAACGCAUCUUGCGCUCCUUGGUAUUCCGAGGAGCAUGCCUGUUUGAGUGUCAUUAAAGUUCUCAACCACAUUACUACAUAUGUGGCUUGGAUGUGGGGGUUUGCAGGCUUUCUCUGAGGGUCUGCUCCUCUGAAAUGCAUUAGUGGUAUUCCUGAGCUUUACUACAGAUGUGAUAAUUUAUCUACAUCCCAAAAGUAUGCUUCAGCAACACCGCUCCUAACAAGCGAAAGCACAUUUUGAUGAAUUUGACCUCAAAUCAGGUAGGACUACCCGCUGAACUUAAGCAUAUCAAUAAGCGGAGGA